UUAAUAAGUAGAUCUACUUCUUAAUCAACAUGAAGGAUGAAGACACCUCUCUUGAAUAAGAUUCACAACAUUAUUGAUUUCAAUCUUAAAUGGUUACAAUGAAGAUUUGAUGGUCUAUUUAUAGGGUAAGCCAUGUGAAUAAAAAGGUAACAAAAAUAUCCUCAUUUAAAACUACAAUUACUUAGGAAAUUAAUUAAAAUUAAAGUCUAAAUUCCUAACUAAGU
RNAcentral lists this long non-coding RNA (224 nucleotides) under Carica papaya (papaya). RNAcentral's name for it is "long non-coding RNA (CPAP_LNC008311)". The record is from RNAcentral. Lineage: Eukaryota; Viridiplantae; Streptophyta; Magnoliopsida; Brassicales; Caricaceae.